Long non-coding RNA from Drosophila miranda, 1987 nucleotides. RefSeq lists it as uncharacterized. NCBI's taxonomy places the organism in Eukaryota, Metazoa, Arthropoda, Insecta, Diptera, Drosophilidae. The record is from RefSeq and is a predicted model, not a curated record. The transcript is spliced from 3 exons.
UGUUUUUGUCCACAAGCAAUCGGUGUGCUGCCACCACCAGCUGAGAUCGCCUUUGAAUUGAACAAAUACAAAUUUGUUUUUUCAAUUUAAUAGGAACUACGGACUAUUUGGAAAAGUAUAGGUUGAGCGUGCGAAUAUCCUGAAAUUUCCCACAACAUCAUGAGCAUUGGAUUCAUUCGGAACCAAGAGUGAAGUGCCAAUGAGCCUUGAUCAACAUCAACCCGUCAUAUACGAAUCGUGACGUAUACAUUCCGGAAUGCACUGAUGUGCGUAGAAGUCCUAGAAGAUAUUGGGUGAUAAAACCAAAGUAUUUCUGUAUAUGGGCAUAGGUACUGUGAGGCUCGACUCCAUACAACAAGUAAAGUAAAUAGAACAGCGCAAGCAGCGAAAUGAUUGAACUCGUGGAAAACAGAAAGAAAAGGUUCAUGGGGGAAAGCCUCUGCCUAUUGCUGGAUAGUCGUAAAGGAUUUUUUGGACAUAUUAAACCAGCUAAGCUUUGCUUCCGCGAACAUGUAUAUUUAUCGUUACAAACAUAUUGACACAUCUCUCACGAGCAUCUGGAAAAACUGCUGCAGAUUGUUGGCGAGCAUGUGGUUAGCUCCGAGUCCGUACUGGAUGACGACACGAAUAUCGAAAAUUUGAAAAUGACCUUUCGACGGACCAGCGGCGGAUGAGACGAUCUAAACUGCCUGAAAAUGAUCAAAUCUUUGGAAGCUUAUUUUGACUUUAAAGACGAGAAAGGGUUGUUUUCGGAUUUUGUUUGAAACCUCACGUUUCUAAGGAAAUCUCCGCACUUUCUGAGUUAAUGGCUUCAAACCUCUUAAAUCAUACUGAAGCUAUUGAAGUUAUUGCUAGACUUUACAUGCUUAAGAUCAUUACCAACAACAGAAUCGCGGUAAACACAAAAAUUUACUAGAACUACUGCAGGACCGUGUGGAACCCAGCAGUGAAAAGGUAUAACUCUGAAGGUAUAAAAGACGUCGAUGGAAAUAUAAUCGAUGCUCUGUCCAUCCCUUACGUUCCAGCCUGUUUCUCCCAUACCACAACGGGCUGGUGGAACCAUUCUGUCUUAAUCGAGAAUAAAUUAAUCAAUCUGGCGACUGAGGCCGCUUCAGAUAUCGAACUGAAAGCCUAAUUUAUGCCUAGAGACGCUAAGGUAAAAAUACCAGGAUACUAUGAAUACAUCUGCCUGGUGAUUUUGGAUGCCGGUAUCAUGAGCUUCGACGGUGACUAUAAAAUUUGCAGCGGAAUCUCGGCAAAGCGCCAGGGAGAGCAUAACUUUGCAGCGUUGGUCCAUGCCUACCUGCGACGUGCGCCAGCGGAUGGGGUAUGUACGAUUACGGCACAUGAUGCGGUUAUGGCUCUAACAACUGCGAACACUUAUCUCGCAAACGAAGUAGAACUCCAGAAAACGUUUUUGAAGUGUGCUGUUUUGGCGACAAGCAAAUAUAAUGGCUACGGCAUCUUUCCGAGUUGUCCCAAAGAUGAUGAUGACGAUGAAGCAGAGGGGAGAAUGGAGGCAAAGCGUGAUAACAUUUCUCCAACUUAUUCCUUCAACAGUAAAAAGGUCCUUAAAGUGGGCGACCAUGAAAUAUUGGAUUUAGUAAACUUAUCGGCAGAAAGUUUAACCGAGAUUCUGGAGAACCACUAACACUGGCGCACGGAUCCGCUCGGCUACUUUGCCUAUGGAUCUGUCGGUAUCAGCACAGAUGAUUCUCACCGCCCACUUCCGGACAAAAAUAUACUGACAAGUGGUCAAUAUGACCUUAUGUGCGUUCGCCCAUCGGUUAGAAUAAUGAUGGCCUGUGGCGUGUACGAUAAGGGGCCUCUCUACAGAGGCGGUUUUUCGAAUAUUCUCGAUAUUGCCUCGACGUAUGGAAGUUUGUUGCUAGGCCUGACCAACUGGGUAGCGGCCGAGCUGGGAGAAACCAUUUUCAUGCCUAACAACAUGGGGAAUAAAAUUCGGUUUAAUGAUUCUUUUAAGCAA